UUGAGCUCAUUCUGGAUCUCUCAGCCUUCUAGACCCGUGCCACUGCAGUGAGGUGAAAACAGCUCGACAUGAGUCUCCUGAAAAUCAUGCUGGAACAGCAUCCCUCAGCCUUGCUGUUCACAGGUGAUGAUUCUGAGCAAGCUGGGUGUUGCAGCACCAGAGCCCUGUGUCCUGAUGACUGCAAGCCUGAGUUGUCUCUAAAAUGCUUUGCCUGGAUGUUGACUCUGAAGCAAGCCCAUCACUUCUCCUGGCUUCAGCUUCCUCAUCAACCAAGGACAGCCUGACACUCAGUAUACUGAGCUUGAUGGGCUGGGGUCCUUCUGUCCUCAUAAACUGAA
Molecule: long non-coding RNA, 338 nt
Filed under: Chloebia gouldiae (Gouldian finch)
Lineage: Eukaryota; Metazoa; Chordata; Aves; Passeriformes; Passeridae
Description: Erythrura gouldiae (Gouldian finch) lncRNA (ENSEGOG00005001914.1)
Source: RNAcentral